Molecule: ribosomal RNA, 253 nt
Filed under: uncultured bacterium
Lineage: Bacteria
Description: partial 16S ribosomal RNA
Rfam family: Bacterial small subunit ribosomal RNA
Source: RNAcentral
UACAGAGGUGGCAAGCGUUGUUCGGAAUUACUGGGCGUAAAGGGCGCGUAGGCGGUCUUCUAAGUCUUGUGUGAAAUCCCUCGGCUUAACUGAGGAACUGCACGGGAUACUGGAUGACUUGAGUUCGGGAGAGGGAAGCGGAAUUCCGGGUGUAGCGGUGAAAUGCGUAGAUAUUGGGAGGAACACCGGUGGCGAAGGCGGCAUCCUGGACCGAGAUUGACGCUGAGGCGCGAAAGCCAGGGGAGCAAACGGG